Molecule: long non-coding RNA, 982 nt
Organism: Nerophis ophidion (straightnose pipefish)
Lineage: Eukaryota; Metazoa; Chordata; Actinopteri; Syngnathiformes; Syngnathidae
Exons: 2
Source: RefSeq, a predicted model, not a curated record
AAUGUGAGUUGGCCCUGCGAUGAGGGGGCGACUUGUCCAGGGUGUACACCGCCUUCCGCCCGAUGUAGCUGGGAUAGGCACCAGUGCCCCCGGCGACCCCAAAGGAAAUAAGUGGUAGAAAUGGAUGGAAGGAUGGAUGGAUGGAUAUGACAUCAUUAAACACACACGUUCAAAUGUAUCUGUUCUCCCUGCUGAGUAAAGUACACAAUGUUAUUAUUACAUUAUUCUGUUACCACACCUAGGCACCUGCUUGCAGGGCUGCACUGGAAUGAAAACUCGAGCCGCCCUACAGACACUACGAAAGCGGGUGCUGAGUGCUAUGCAGUACGCUACCCGAAGUAUAAAGCAGGGGGCCAUGUGGUCAAGAAAAUCACGACAGAGCCAACAUACCGCUACGUAGAUGACUUGAUCAGGGAGGUUUUUGCUGGCUGCAGACAGACCCCUGACGAGAGAACACCAGUCAGCGUCACUGUGGAUGAACUGGAGAAGUCAGACAAGGAAAGAGCCAUCGCCAAGCACAGGAGUCGCUUCGCUAAGCGUUAACUACAGUGGCCAUGUGGAUUCUGUUGCAGUCACUGCACGUCUUGGAACCCUGGGUAGUCCAUCGAUAGAAAUGUUGUUCUGAUCUUAUUUACUACACAAGCUGGUAGUGCCACCCUUAUCUCCUUUUCCAGAAAUCCCGAGCAGAAGCGGACAAACUGUCGAUAUGCUGUGUACUGUCUCCACCUGGAAGAUACACAGUGACUCACUGUUCUCUGAGAUGCAAAAGACAUUGUCAUGCAUUCUAUUCAUUUGUCAUUUACUGUUGCAGUAAAUCGUAAAUAUUGUUGACAUCUACGGUCCAUGUAUGUAAUACUUCUAUGAUAUAUAAUGUAAUUUACUAUGUAGAACAGUACAUAUCACAGAAUAAGAAUCAGAUAAGAAAGUGCUCAUUCUGACUUAUCUUCCAAAGGUUGAUAGAAUAAAGAAUUAUUUAAACUUA